GUUUUGUUUCUUUCAACAAGAAUUAAAAUUCACAAAAGCAGGGGUAUUUGUUUUGUUCCAAGCUCUUGAAAUAAUGUGUGACACAUAGUAGGCAUUUAACAAGUAUUAAAUUCAAUUAAGUAGUGAGUACACCACAGUGAAGGUGGUUGAAGUGAGGGUUGAAUGAAAUAAUCUACAGUAAGUGCUGCAAUGAUGCCUGACUUGUUUCUUAUUGCCUUCUUUCAGUUUCUAGCUCCAGGGGAGUUAAAUGCCUCUAUUUCCUUCUUUCUAACUGCUCAAUCUAUUAGUCAGACUUUAAUUCCCAUCAUCACUUUAACAAUUCUCAUCAAAAUCACCAAUGAUUUUCCUUUCAUUAAACCCAUUGGAUAUCUUUUAGUCUUUAUCAUGUUUAACUUCACAGGAACAUUUGGCAUUGUAGACUUUUUCCUCUUGGGAGCUCAUUCUUCCUUUGGCACCUAGAAUGUUCUCCUGGCUGUCCCUCUACGACAUAUUUUUUUAAGCCUCCUUUGCUGGCCUCUCUUUCACUUUCUGACCCUAAAUGCUAGAGUUCCUUUGGUUAAUUUAUGCUUUCUCUUGUGGGCUGAAUUAUUCUCCCUCCCCAAAUUUAUAUAUUGAAGUCCUAAUACCCAGAACUUCAGAAUAUGACUGUAUUUGGGGGCUAGAGUCUUAAGUAUUUAUUUUUU
Molecule: long non-coding RNA, 683 nt
Filed under: Marmota monax (woodchuck)
Lineage: Eukaryota; Metazoa; Chordata; Mammalia; Rodentia; Sciuridae
Source: RNAcentral